This 358-nucleotide long non-coding RNA is filed under the name Physcomitrium patens. RNAcentral describes it as "long non-coding RNA (PPAT_LNC014541)". Lineage: Eukaryota; Viridiplantae; Streptophyta; Bryopsida; Funariales; Funariaceae. The record is from RNAcentral.
AGAUAGACUGUCGACCAGCAGAUUUCAAAGGUUAUGAUCCUUUGAAUUCUUAACCAUUUAUUCCACUAACAACCUAUUGUUACCAACUAAACUACCUAACCAUCAGUCUAAUUCUCAAGGUUAUCAAUAACUAAGCAAUAACUUACCAUAAAGUUUAUUUAUCUAUUCUACAUAGCCCUACUCCUAUCUAUGCAGUGUCCUCGCAAACAUUAUUUAGCCUCAACUUAUAAAGACGUAGUAGCGUUGGCUUCUUCACUCAAUGGCAUUGGCUUACCACCCUUUGAAUUGGUGACCUUUUUCUCUUUACAUCUUCUUCAUCUACCUCAAUGUUUGAGGGUUUUCCAUACAAACGCGUCGU